Molecule: ribosomal RNA, 308 nt
Filed under: Ruminococcus sp.
Lineage: Bacteria; Bacillati; Bacillota; Clostridia; Eubacteriales; Oscillospiraceae
Description: partial 23S ribosomal RNA
Rfam family: Bacterial large subunit ribosomal RNA
Source: RNAcentral
GAACGUCGUGAGACAGUUCGGUCCCUAUCUGUCGUGGGCGUAGGAUAUUUGAAAGGAGCUGUCCCUAGUACGAGAGGACCGGGAUGGACGCACCUCUGGUGUAUCGGUUGUCGCGCCAGCGGCACGGCCGAGCAGCUAUGUGCGGAACGGAUAAACGCUGAAGGCAUCUAAGCGUGAAACCGCCCUUAAGAUAAGAUAUCCCAUCGUAAGAGUAAGACCCCUUGUAGACUACGAGGUUGAUAGGCUUAAAGUUUAAGCGUCGCGAGGCGUUCAGCUUGCAAGUACUAAUCGGUCAAGGGCUUGACCUU